GUGAGCGAUCCGGUGGAGAGAUCACUAGUGAGAAUGAUGACAUGAGUAGCGACAAAGGGAGUGAGAGACUCCCUCGCCGAAAGUCCAAGGGUUCCUGCUUAAAGCUAAUCUGAGCAGGGUAAGCCGACCCCUAAGGCGAGGCCGAAAGGCGUAGUCGAUGGGAACCAGGUUAAUAUUCCUGGGCCAGAUGGAAGUGACGGAUCUCGAGGGUAGUUCAUCCUUAUCGGAUUGAAUGGGCUGCUUAGAGGUCCCUGGAAAUAGCUCCAUCGCUAGAUCGUACCCUAAACCGACACAGGUGGAUAGGUAGAGAAUACCAAGGCGCUU
This 324-nucleotide ribosomal RNA is filed under the name Dinophysis acuminata. RNAcentral describes it as "partial Bacterial large subunit ribosomal RNA". It matches the Rfam family "Bacterial large subunit ribosomal RNA", at positions 1260 to 1691 of the family's 2925-position model. The record is from RNAcentral. Lineage: Eukaryota; Dinophyceae; Dinophysales; Dinophysaceae.